This 512-nucleotide ribosomal RNA is filed under the name uncultured bacterium. RNAcentral's name for it is "partial 16S ribosomal RNA". It matches the Rfam family "Bacterial small subunit ribosomal RNA", at positions 28 to 507 of the family's 1533-position model. The record is from RNAcentral.
GAUGAACGCUGGCGGCGUGCCUAAUACAUGCAAGUCGAACGAAACUUCUUUAUCACCGAGUGCUUGCACUCACCGAUAAAGAGUUGAGUGGCGAACGGGUGAGUAACACGCGGGCAACCUGCCCAAAAGAGGGGGAUAACACUUGGAAACAGGUGCUAAUACCGCAUAACCAUAGUUACCGCAUGGUAACUAUGUAAAAGGUGGCUAUACUACCGCUCUUGGAUGGGCCCGCGGCGCAUUAGCUAGUUGGUAGGGUAAAGGCUUACCAAGGCAAUGAUGCUUAGCCGAAUUGAGAGGUUGAUCGGCCACAUUGGGACUGAGACACGGCCCAAACUCCUACGGGAGGCAGCAGUAGGGAAUCUUCCACGAUGGGCGAAAGCCGGAUGGAGCAACGCCGCGUGGGUGAAGAAGGUCUUCGGAUCGUAAAACCCUGUUGUUAGAGAAGAAAGUGCGUGAGAGUAACUGUUCACGUUUCGACGGUAUCUAACCAGAAAGCCACGGAUAACUACGUG